RNAcentral lists this ribosomal RNA (468 nucleotides) under uncultured bacterium. RNAcentral describes it as "partial 16S ribosomal RNA". It matches the Rfam family "Bacterial small subunit ribosomal RNA", at positions 28 to 507 of the family's 1533-position model. The record is from RNAcentral.
GACGAACGCUGGCGGCGUGCUUAACACAUGCAAGUCGAACGGAAAGGCCCUGCUUUUGUGGGGUGCUCGAGUGGCGAACGGGUGAGUAACGCGUGAGUAACCUGCCCUUGACUUUGGGAUAACUUCAGGAAACUGGGGCUAAUACCGGAUAGGAGCUCCUGCUGCAUGGUGGGGGUUGGAAAGUUUCGGCGGUUGGGGAUGGACUCGCGGCUUAUCAGCUUGUUGGUGGGGUAGUGGCUUACCAAGGCUUUGACGGGUAGCCGGCCUGAGAGGGUGACCGGCCACAUUGGGACUGAGAUACGGACCAGACUCCUACGGGAGGCAGCAGUGGGGAAUAUUGCACAAUGGGCGGAAGCCAGAUGCAGCAACGCCGCGUGCGGGAUGACGGCCUUCGGGUUGUAAACCGCUUUCGCCUGUGACGAAGCGUGAGUGACGGUAAUGGGUAAAGAAGCACCGGCUAACUACGUG